This 441-nucleotide ribosomal RNA is filed under the name uncultured bacterium. RNAcentral describes it as "partial 16S ribosomal RNA". It matches the Rfam family "Bacterial small subunit ribosomal RNA", at positions 338 to 795 of the family's 1533-position model. The record is from RNAcentral.
CCUACGGGGUGCAGCAGUGGGGAAUAUUGCACAAUGGGGGAAACUCUGAUGCAGCGACGCCGCGUGAGUGAAGAAGUAUUUCGGUAUGUAAAGCUCUAUCAGCAGGGAAGAAAAAAGACGGUACCUGACUAAGAAGCCCCGGCUAACUACGUGCCAGCAGCCGCGGUAAUACGUAGGGGGCAAGCGUUAUCCGGAUUUACUGGGUGUAAAGGGAGCGUAGACGGCGCGGCAAGUCUGAAGUGAAAGGCAGGGGCUUAACCCCUGAACUGCUUUGGAAACUGCCAUGCUAGAGUGCUGGAGAGGUAAGUGGAAUUCCUAGUGUAGCGGUGAAAUGCGUAGAUAUUAGGAGGAACUCCGAUUGCGAAGGCAGCAUACCGGCGCUCAACUGACGCUCAUGCACGAAAGCGUGGGUAUCGAACAGGAUUAGAUACCCUUGUAGUC